AGCAGUCGCCGCGGGAAUACAGAGGGUGCGAGCGUUAAUCGGAAUUACUGGGCGUAAAGCGUGCGUAGGUGGUGGUUUAAGUCCGUUGUGAAAGCCCUGGGCUCAACCUGGGAAUUGCAGUGGAUACUGGGUCACUAGAGUGUGGUAGAGGAUAGUGGAAUUUCCGGUGUAGCAGUGAAAUGCGUAGAGAUCGGAAGGAACAUCUGUGGCGAAGGCGACUAUCUGGGCCAACACUGACACUGAGGCACGAAAGCGUGGGGAGCAAACAGGAUUAGAUACCCCAGUAGUCCCUGUCUCUUAUAC
This 303-nucleotide ribosomal RNA is filed under the name uncultured bacterium. RNAcentral describes it as "partial 16S ribosomal RNA". It matches the Rfam family "Bacterial small subunit ribosomal RNA", at positions 507 to 807 of the family's 1533-position model. The record is from RNAcentral.